UCUGGUUUGUACCAUUUCAGGUUUUAAGCUAUGCUUCUCCAAUCAGCUUUCCGUUCUCUCUUCUUCACCAAAACCACGUUCCGUUAUCUCCGUUUCUUUUGCUCUUCACAACUCCAUCAAACGCCGUCACUUCCACAAUUAGAACCUUCAAACGACGCCGAUUUAAUAUCCCAACUACUCCUUCAACACCACAACCCAUUUCACGCUAUGGAAUCUUCUCUUCAGCUCAACGGCAUUUCCUUCACUCCUUUCCUUAUCAACCAAACACUCCUUCGCUUAAAACAUAAUUCCAAAAUUGCCCUCUCCUUUUUCCACUAUUCCCAAAAUUACCCUCUUGAUACCACUGCUUUUAAUAUCCUUAUUGAUAUUCUGUGUAAAGUGCACCAGUUUGAUGUUGCGUGGCAACUUAUUAUACAAAUGGAAACGAAAUCUGUGAAAAUUAAUUUUACUACUUUUUAUUUGUUGAUACGUAGGCUUAUUGGGUCCGGGUUGACCCGACAAGCUAUUCGGGCAUUUAGUGAAAUGCAUGUGUUUCUUGAUGAAAGUGAAGAUGUGGUUUGGAAAUGUUAUUUUUGUUAUUUACUUGAUACACUUUGUAAAUAUGGGUAUGUUAAGGUUGCUACUGAAGUGUUUAAUAAAGAGAAAUGGAGAUUAGAGUUGAACUGUAAGGUUUAUACUAUUUUGAUUUAUGGUUGGUGUAAAUUGAAGAAUAUUGAUAGGGCUAAGAGGUUUUUUGAUGAAAUGUUGGAUAAAGGAAUUGAUCCAAAUGUUGUUAGUUAUAAUGUGCUGUUACAUGGGAUUUGUAGACGAGCGAGUUUGCAUCCGGAUGGGAGGUUUGAGAAGGUUAUUAGGGAUGCAGAGAAGGUGUUCGAUGAAAUGUCUGAGAGAGGUGUGGAACCGGAUGUCACUAGUUACUCUAUACUCUUACAUGUGUAUAGUCGGGCUCAUAAACCCGAAUUGGCGCUUGAGAAAUUAAGGGUUAUGAGACGUAAAGGGAUAUGUCCGAAUAUCGUGACGUAUACGUCGGUUAUUAAGUGUCUUUGUUCUUGUGGUAGGAUUGAAGAUGCGGAGUUGUUACUCGAGCAAAUGGUUUCGAAUGGGGUGACGCCUACGUCCGUGACAUAUAAUUGUUUCUUUAAAGAGUUUAAAGGGAGGAAGGAUGUCGAUGGUGCGUUGAGGUUGUACGGGAAAAUGAAGGAGGGUUCGUUUUGUGAACCUAGCGUGAGUACGUUUAAUAUAUUGUUGGGGAUGUUGUUGAAAUCGGGUCGAAUAGGGGUGGCGAGAGAUAUUUGGGACGAUAUGAAGGAUUCUGGAGCAGGGCCUGAUUUGGAUUCAUAUACAUUGUUGAUUCAUGAAUUUUGUGAGAAGCAAAAAUGGAAAACGGCAUGUGAAUUCUUUAUGGAAAUGAUAGAAAAAGGAUUUCUUCCACAGAAGGUGACGUUUGAGACACUUUAUAGAGGCUUAAUACAAGCCAAUAUGCUGAGAACUUGGAGAAGGUUAAAGAAAAGACUUGAUGAGGAAUCAAUAACUUUUGGUUCAGAAUUUGAAAAUUAUCACCUCAAAACUUAUAGAAGGUAAUCUGAUGAAGUUUUUGAAAGAGGUACAAGGCUGAACUAUCUGCUGUCAAGCUAAAGGGCUAACUGAUAUUUCCGGAUUCGUGGGGAGCUGUUUAUAAUUGAUGAUGUAACAGACAUCAAGGACAGAAGUAAGAUGCUUAUGCUUCAGUUCAUGCUGUAAUGGGCGAUGCCAGGCACAUUGAAGGGAGCACUCUUAAUCUCAAGGAGGACCAUUCGCCCAACCAAGUAAUGGAAUGAUUCAGAUUGAAAGUAUGUUCAAGCAAAUGAUGGGCAAUAAUUCCCAAACGGAUGCUCAAAUGGCUUCUCGCAGGACUUCCAUCGGCAAUCUUGAAGUGCAAAUGGGCCAAAUUUAUCAAGCCCUCAACUCGAGACCAAAGGGUCCUCUACCAAGUAAUAUGGGGGCUAACCCUAAAGGUAUAGAGGAGAGAAAAUGGAGAACACUGGGGUAAUGUCAACAAAAUAUAAAGAAAAAUUGUGGUGAGGAAUUUGGUUGAUGAGAAGGAUAAGAAAGUGAAGGAGUUGCAGGAUGACAUUGCUGCAGUCAUUUUUACCCCACAAAGCAAAAUGGGCAAGAUGCUAAUGGCUAAAUGUAGGACACUGCAGGAGGAAAUUGAAGAGAUCGGAACCAGGCUAAUGAAGAAGUCUCAGAAUGCUGAUCUCAAAAGUGAAUUUGAAGGUUACUGUUACCUUCUCAAAAAAAAAAAAAAAAAAAAAGUGAAUUUGAAGGUUAAUUUUCUCUCCAGUUGCUUUAGAAAAUAUCUCUCUUUUCCUUUUGAUUGGGCUAGGAUUUCUUGCUUGCUGCUAGUCUUAUUGGGAUCGACUGGUUGGUUUGGUCCAACAGGUAUUCUGGAUAUGAUCCAUGUGGUGAUAAUAUUGGUGAGGAUAUUUUAAUUUGCCUUAAAUAUUGAAACUGCUGGUAAUAUUUGCAUAUACGCCCCCUGGUUCAUCAGACAUUACAUGAGUAAAGACGGUCACUAUUAGAUUAUAUUUUUGUUGCUUUUUGGUAGGAUCUUUUUGCUUCAGUAAGCAGUUGACAAGGAAUUAUACUAACAUUAAUUAAUGUUUUUUCCAUGAAAAUGUAUUACCUUGAAAGAUCGUUUCCAUGAUGAUUUUCUAUUGUUCGGUUGGAUACGAAAAUAGCAGAUACUAUAUUGUAUGAGAUAUACGGUAGGAUAGUAGAAUAAUGUGUUCAUAAUAUUGGUAAUUUGGUAAAAAUCAUAAUGAACCUGUUUAAUUAUAGAUGAAAAUUCACUGAUAGCAUAAAAAGCUCUUUACACUAUAAGUAUAUAUAACUUAAAUAGAUUAAAAACAAGUAUGAUUGAAUAAAAAUUGGUAAGUCUGUAAAAGGAAAUGAAUUCCACUUCAUUAUACUAAACGCAGAUGAAAAUCUAGUUUGAUUGCGCAUUUAAAUUGUGGGGGAAGGGAGAGGAACUAAUAGAUAAAACAAGAUAUAGAAAUUUCAAUUAAAAAACAAUCCUCUCAAAAUACAAAAAUUAAGCUCCCUUAACAAGAUCCUCCAAAAAAAUCCAAGUGAAUGUAUAAUCCAAGUACAGGCAAGGAAAUGGGCCAUCAUCAUCAUCCUAAGCUAAAGAAAGAGAUAGCAAUUCAUACAUAUAGAAGCAAAUUAAAACAAAUGAUGCAGGAUGAAAAGAGAGUUCUACAUUAGAAAGCAGAGUAGACCCCAUCCUAAGACCAAGCUUUCCACAACCAUUGUUGACAACUUUAGGCCCUCCACUCCACUCUGCAAAUUAAACAUGCUUCCAAAUUAAUAUCAAUAAAUGACCAUAAGAAUAAUUGCUUGUAAGAAGAGUUACUAAUCAAAUAGGAUUACCGACUUAUAAAAGUAAAGAAUGUAGGACAAAACGCUAACAAAAUGCAAUAUAAAAUAGUGUUGGAUUACAUAUCCGAUUUUUUUUUUCCUAAUCCUGGUAAAAAAAAAAAAAAAUCCAAAAAACAAGAUCUUUGUUAAACACAUCAGAUCUAUACUUAAUCAAUGUGAAGUACAAUCAACGAUUGUAAGUGCAGCAAGUGAGACAAUAAAAAACUUGGCACAUACAUAAUGAUCCAAAACAAUUCAAAAUUUAAAAAUGAUUUACUUAUUACACUGAUGAAGUGUACUUGUAUUAGAUUAUAUCUGCAUCUUUAUCUAGGUAUCGAAUCUAUCUAUUUUGUUACAGAUAAUUACUCAAUAUACUAAAUUGUCUAAUUUAGAAAUAUAUUUAAUUAGAUCUAGCUAGCAUAUUUAAACUGAACGUAUUAUGAAGCAUGCAAUCAGCAGUGGCGGAUCUAGCAUGCUAGGUGGGGGUUCCAUUGAGCCCCAACUUUCGACGCGGAGCAUAAAUUUAUGUGUAAAAAUUUAUUAAAACUGCAAUAAAUAGUAGACAUGAACCCAUAACUUUUAAAAUACGACGGGUUUACACUAAGAAUAAGGUUGAACCCAUAGAGUUUAAAUCCUGGAUCCGCCUCUGGCAAUCAAACCAUAAAUCCAACAUACGGGAUCCUAACUAACUAGUAUGUAUGUACUUGUAUCUUUAAUUUUAAAUUAUGGAAUCACCUCAACUUUAAAUGAUUAACAAAUAAUAUAGAAAAGUGCAUGCAUGGAAUUAUGAAUGUACCUGAUCAGUAGCUGCAGGAGUUAAAGCUCCAAGACUCGGGGAUAGGGCUAGGGCUGGAGAACCAGCGGGAGGUAAGGGAGGACUCGAGCCCAAAGGAGAUGGUGCUGGAGAAGUUAAUUUCUUCGCAGGAGCGGGAGCAGGAGUUGAUACAACUGGCGCAGGUGAAGGUGGAGAGUUCACUGGCGGAGGAGGAGUAGCUGGUGCUGGUGGUGGAGAAGUUACAACAGGAGGUGGUGAAGCAGGCGGCGUUUGGGUGUUAACUGGAGGAGGAGAACCAGUAGGUGUUGGUGGAGCUUGGGUAGGCGCAGGUGGUGCUUGGUUAGUGGGUGUGGGAGGAGCUUGGGUGGUGGGUGUUGGUG
Lycium barbarum (goji berry) is the source of this 4551-nucleotide RNA transcript. It is a transcript of the gene named FKBP12-interacting protein of 37 kDa-like, with no coding region annotated. The record is from RefSeq and is a predicted model, not a curated record. NCBI's taxonomy places the organism in Eukaryota, Viridiplantae, Streptophyta, Magnoliopsida, Solanales, Solanaceae. The transcript is spliced from 3 exons.